RNAcentral lists this long non-coding RNA (5610 nucleotides) under Homo sapiens (human). RNAcentral's name for it is "HSALNT0386389". Lineage: Eukaryota; Metazoa; Chordata; Mammalia; Primates; Hominidae. The record is from RNAcentral.
AGUUGUCAAGGAACUAUUUUUCUUGCCGUCGUCCCAGAGAUGCCUUUGGAAAAGCGGAAGGGCACGGAGGGUUCUGGAGUUCGUUGCUGGCACCUGCGUGGUGUCAUGAGAACGUGGCGGGGCGAUUCACACUACAAGGAAUACUAAAGGACGUUCUCCACAUUGAAGGAAAAUGAUCUAAAGAGAAACAGAUCUGUAAGAAGAAAUGAAGAGCACUGGUAAAGGUCCAGCAUAGCAAGUGGGUGGUGAGAUGCCGGCAGUGGAAUUCUAGAAGCAGUGCCUCCCAGAACAGCACUACAGUACUGAGGAAGGACUAUGCACCUGGGAAGCUGUCACACACACAAAAUCAUUUCAUGAAAACUUUCUUUGGGUAAAGGAAGGGUUCCACUGCGUAGUAUUUGAUUUGAGAAGGGCUGCAUGGUGCAUGAGGUUAAGAAAGAAAUGACUAUAUUUGCCUUUAAACACUUCAGCUGAUUCCAAGCACCCAACUUCAGAGGCUCAGUGAGAAGAAAGCACACUAAUUAAAGAAAGCACAUUAAUUAAAGAUACCACCACCUGCCAAAUAAUAGCAUGUGCUGCAAGGAAUGGGGCUAGGGAGAGUGUUUCACAAAUGCAGAGCACCAGGCCACAAGGUUAAAGUCAUGCACUAAAACAGUCAAUCCCAAGAGGCAGGUGUCUGAGUGGCGCGACUCAGAAGCAAGUACAUAAAAACGGAACACUCCCAACAGGACACCACUCUAGCCCCACUUCUGCCAAAGGAAAGUUUUCACAUCAAGGUGUAACACACAUCUUUGCAAUUCAAGGUUUAUCCCUCCCCUCUCCCCCAAAGAGACAGGAAAUACAAGUUAAGGUCCUCAUAGCAAUGGUUUGUCUCCCACUUGGGAAGGCUGGUUAUUGUCAACAUUUUUAUUUAAGAAAACAGGAUUUAACAUGGCAUUUUUCUUCCCUCUAAGGGCAGCAGCACAUAAAUCAUACAUCAGUCAUCCAGUGAUACAAAGAGGUGGCCAAUUGUGUCUGAAGUAGUCACUUGUAAAGGAUCACAACCCAGGCAGUGUUGCUUUUCUGCAAACAGAAGGAAACAGAAGGCUCCAUGGUCCUUGAAGAUUAUCCAAGUUUUCCACUAGUUGUCAAGAUUUCUGUCCCAACCUCUUAGUCACCAUUUACAGCAAGAAGAGCCAGCAAGUGAAAAACUGUUAAUUUAUUGAUUCAAAGUUGUUUUUUUUCUUUUUAAAAAACAAUCCCCAAUACAUGCAGUUCAGGGUUAAGUAUCACAUUUGUAGCACAUUGUUGAGUCUCAAAACAAAAAUAUGCAUCACCUGUAUAAUCCCAUCACAUCUUUUUCCAGCCUCUACAAUACCUAGUUGGGGGUGUUUUCAUUUAUACAUCCACAUAGCUCAGAAGCAUGUUAUUAACGGUUGAUCUGGCCCGAUGCUUCUCCGCCACCUCCCCUGCCCUGGUCUCCACCUCGGGGUUAUUUUUUUCUAAAGGCAGGAUGUUACUCAGUCUUAAUUUAUUAAGAUCACUGACAAACUUUGGCUUCUUGUGUGCUCAUGUGGUCCCUGCUUUUGCUUUCGGAAGGGUUUAUAUUGAAACGACUGUGACUCUGAUCGGUUAUUAUCCCCUCAUUUUUUGUAGGAAAUAAGUUUGCUUGUUUCUGUGGGUGCUCACACAGUAACACAGGUUCCUAAAGUAACCAUUUAAUCUGAACUGGUAUUAAAGGAAACUGUUAACCAGGCUCUCUUAGAUCUAUUUCAGUUCAUAUAAAAAAACUCUUCCAAUUGUUGCUUGUGUCUCAAAGUAGUUCUGCUUCCAUCCUUAUCAACAGAGCACCUGGGAGAACCUAAGUCAUUUCCCUGAGUAGGCACAGACCACGAGCCCCGCGGCACCCAGCUCUCUCUGGGACUAAGCGCCUGACUCGAGAGCACCACCUUUCAGUCCACUGGGACCAAUCCAGUGGGCAGCGCCCUCCCCAGGGUACAUUCCAGAACAUAAACUUGGUACCCUCUAAUUUAUCCCCUCAAGAAGUUAAUUUCCUCCUCAAGAGCUACCUUUAGAUGGAUUUUCUUAUUGGUCCCUUUUCUUUUAACAGCCCUUCCCCUAGCCACUCUCUUCAAGUCCCCAAGGAUUACGAGUUUGUCUGUCUCCUCUAAUCUAUCAGUCUGAGAGCACCUUCCUCUCUGCAAGGGAACACAUUUGCUUUAAACCUUGUGAGUGCUGACAUGUUACAGAAUGUCUGGGAGGAGGCCUGGCUGAGUGACUGGUGUUUAAGUGCCUCAAUGAACGACAUCAGCGCUUCUCUAGUUGGUGAGAAGGCCCAGGAAAGCUUGGUCUGCGUCAUACACUCAAUAGCUUCUCCUACCCAGCCACCUACCCUGCCUACAGGGAUAGGAUGAAAGCAAGGCCAGCUGACAGCAUCCAGGGGAGAGUGAACUGCCACCACACCAGAGGUGCAAAUGUGACUCAGCACUUCAUGAGUUCUACUCUCACCAUGGGAUUUCUCAGCAGAAGCAAACCUUGCAGUCAGGCUCACUUGUAGCCAACAAAUGAUAUAGCCAUCUGGAUUUGGCAUAGGAACCUUUUGUUCUCACCAUACCAGGUCUAUGUUCUUGAACAUAGGCAGUACCUGAGAUGAUAGUAUAACACUACCCUGUUCCCCACAUUUUUUGCUUUUCUUUAGGAAAUAAUUAAGUCCUUAUCAUAGGCACUUUUAACCUGUUUAAGAUAAUGAAGCAAACAAAUGAAAAGUACUGAGAUGAGUUUAAGAAAGAAUAUGCUAACUGAAAAGGAUACUGGGUGCGUACAUUUACCAUGGUUUAGUCUAAAUAUUAGACACACAGACACACACACAGACACACACACAGACACACACACAGACACACACACAGACACACACACACCCCUUUUGGAACUCUCCAAGACCAUCUCCGAAUCUAGGUAAAUAGUCUUAAAAUUUCGGGGGAGCUAGGUUUGGAAACAAAAAUGGUUUUUGGAGACAGGAAAAGAGAUGGUCUGAAACUGGACUCACUUCAGUUUGGAAAGGAAUAGCCUAGGUGCCAAGACCAGACCCAGGAAGGGGUGAGCAUUUCAAGCCCAGUUAUGGUCUAAGUCUAAGGCAUGAAGAGAGGUAAAAGUCUAGGUGCUGGAAAAGCAAGCUGUGUGCUUCAAAGGAAGAAUGCCUGUGUCAAAGCUGCAGUUACAAAACCCCAGGACAAGGCAGGCAGGCGGUGUCUGCACCUACAUCACCGUCAGAGAGACAGGCAGAGGUCAAUCACCUGACUAUUCUCCUCCAGGUACUUUUAUUACCUUUGGGGGACCCAAGGGAAAGGAAUGGAGUUACCGCUUCACCAAGACCCUCCAGUAGGCACCUCUUGCCUGGUCCAGACAGGCAACUUAAAAAAAAAAAGGGAGGGCUGAGGAGUGGGGUGGGGUGAUAAAGGAGAUUGGAGGGGGAGCAGGAAAGACACGCAGUGGCACAUCUCCCUGAUGAUAACCAAUGCUUCAGGAUUGCCUAUAAGGGCAUAUUAGAAGGCUUUUGAUAAUCUCAAACACUGAGUUUUGCUGCCUGACAUAUCAAUACAGGUUUAGCCAAAGAGCUCACAUCUUGCUUUUGAUUUUCAGGUAGAACAAAUGUUUACAUUAGUAUACAGAAUGUGCAAUGCAAGCAGGCAGCAUUGGUAUGAGAACCUUAACUGAAUGCAUUCCUUGGCUUUGGGAUCUUAUUUAUUUUUUACUCUAUAAACUCAACUCUAUAAUAAGAGAAGAGUUUCAUUUGUAUUUUAAGUUCCCACAGACCAAACGACAAAAAUAGAAUCUACAUUUAGAGUAGGAUCUGCUACCAAUACCAAUAAGAUUUUAUUGGAAUAUGGAAUGUAAACAAAUGUUUCAAACAAACAUCUAACCUUAUAAAAAUGUAUGGCAUUAUUAAAUAGUUAAUAAAGAAAUCUUAAAGGGUGAUGUGGUAGACACCUCUAGUUCUAGCCUAGGUGUGUGAAGUCCCCACAGCUGUGGCAUGGCCCUGCAGCUGGGGUGAGGGGACUGCCUACAAACCAUGUUGCUCCUGAGUCCCCAAAAUGAAAUCAGCCCUAUUUUUGUUUAAACAAACUCUAGCUUUCUCUGCUAACAUGAAGGUUUGCAAAAUGGAUCCAACACUUGCUCCGGGAGCACCAUUUUCUUCCCCAAGCCCCUUGUAUAUUCCUCUGAGUUGCUUGAGUUUCAGAUGACCCUGCCCACACAACUCUAGUACCUGCAUGCAAGACAGACUUAUCUUUGCCAUCACAUAAAUGUAUCACAUAUCAGAACUUACAAAUGCAUAUUACCCUGAUUACAGUGGGAAACUGUGUCUCAUGGGGAUAAAAGGAGGUGGGAGAGAGAUAUUUUUUUCCAUAAGUCUUUCCUGAAAAAAUUCUAAUGGGAUGUUUUCCUCCCUCGCCUUGCCUGAAGACUGACUUUCCAGCUUUAGUUAUGGUUGUGAACAAAAAGGUCUCUGUUUCAGAGAGGUGCAUUAAAAUAGGCGCACACAUAGGGAUGUGCUGGGAAAUGGUGAAGUUCUCCUUACAAGGCUGCCAAAAAAAAAAAAAAAAAAAAAAAAGAAAAAGCAACAAAAAAAUAGCAACAAGAUUUUAUGGUUAGGGAAAUCAACAAAGGUUAUAGUGAGCUCCAAGUUAUGCACUUAGCAUGGAACUUUUGAUGAUAACCAUGGACCAGUUCAUGGCAUUGCAAGGUUUCGUGAUCCCUCCUGACAUCAAAGAGGACUCUUGUGAAAGUGACUGCAGUUUGCUCCCAAAUGAAUCCACUUGGAGGAAAACUGCGGGGAUGAGGUACAUUUCCUGGAGAGCUCAUGUCAUUAAAAAAUACAUAAAACGUGGAUUUGUAAAGAGCUUAAAAAAAAAAUACUGUCACUGUUUUAAUAUCUCCUUUUUGUAAAUGAGGCUGGUGUGUCAGUAUAGACUGCUGACAUUUCGCUAAGACUUGAGCCUGAAUUUCACCAAAGGAAACCCAGACCACAAUGGAAUAGAUAGGAAGUCAGACAUUCAGAGCUUGUUGACUGAAUGGGUUAAUUCAACAGUGGUGCCCUGUUAAACAAAGGUAAAUGUACAACAACUCCGAGUCUCUAUCUCCCAUGCAUUCCAAAGGCAGAGCUCCUUCAGAUCCUGAACUAGGUGCAUCCCCAUGCUGCCACAGUGACAGCUCCCUGGAGACUAGCACUGGGGAGUUUCUUUCUUGCUUUUUGACAGACUUUUAGGUCUUUACUCUUCUGUGCAUUUAGAAGGAAUGAUAAGAAUUUCUUUUUAUCACACUGUAGUUUUCCUUCAAGGUUUGUGUUUGGUUGGUUGGUUUUAUUGGCAAGCAUCAAUGCCGCAUUACCCGUCGCUUUCCAGUCUUCAUCGUGCUGCCGUGAGACCACUGGAAAGCACAGCAUUGUCUGCACAAGGCUGGGACUGCUCCUUCACCACAGGGUCUGCAAGAAAGCAGGAGGAAAGUCAGGCAAUCAGGGUGGUGAGUGCUGAGAGAAGCCCAUGGCAAACCCACCCUUUCAACGGAAAGAGAGACAGACUGAUGGGCAAGCCAGGGUCAGGGGGGCAACAGGAGAGACGGAAAUCACGGAAUUCC